CGCCUGAGGAUGAGUCUGCGGCCUAUCAGGUAGUAUGUGGUGUAAUGGACCACAUAGCCUAAGACGGGUACGGGCCUUGAAAGAGGGGGAGCCCGGAGAUGGACUCUGAGACACUAGUCCAGGCCCUACGGGGCGCAGCAGGCGCGAAACCUGUGCAAUGCGCGUAAGCGCGACACGGGGAGCCUGAGUGCCUUGACUAAGUCAAGGCUUUUCUUCAAGCCUAAAAAGCUUGAGGAAUAAGAGCUGGGCAAGACGGGUGCCAGCCGCCGCGGUAACACCCGCAGCUCGAGUGGUAGUCACUUUUAUUGAGCCUAAAGCGUUCGUAGCCGGUUUUGUAAAUCCUCAGCAAAUUCUCCUGCUUAACGGGAGAUACUCUGGAGAGACUGCGAAACUAGGGACCGGGUGAGGUUGAAGGUACUUCUGGGGUAGGGGUAAAAUCCUGUAAUCCUGGAAGGACGACCAGUGGCGAAGGCGUUCAACUAGAACGGAUCCGACGGUGAGGAACGAGGGCUAGGGGAGCAAACCGGAUUAGAUACCCGGGUAGUCCUAGCUGUAAACACUGCCCACUUGGUGUUGCUUCUUCUAUAGGGGGGAGCAGUGCCGGAGCGAAGGUGUUAAGUGGGCCGCUUGGGGAGUAUGGUCGCAAGGCUGAAACUUAAAGGAAUUGGCGGGGGAGCACCGCAACGGGAGGAGCGUGCGGUUU
This 703-nucleotide ribosomal RNA is filed under the name mine drainage metagenome. Its description in RNAcentral is "bacterial SSU rRNA". It matches the Rfam family "Archaeal small subunit ribosomal RNA", at positions 200 to 903 of the family's 1478-position model. The record is from RNAcentral.